AAACUCUUACAUAUUCUUCUCACCUUAAAAAAAUCACUGUUACAACUACAUAUGAAUAUAUGCAAACAUACAUACAAGUUGAGUAUCUCUUAACCGAAAUGCUUGGGGCCAGAAGUGUUUCAGAUUUCAGAUAUUUUCUGAUUUGGAAAUAUUUGUAUAUACAUAAUGAAACCUCUUGGGGAUGGGACCGAAGUUUAAACAUAACAUUUAUUAUGUUUCAUAUACACUUUAUACAUAUACCCUGAGAGCAAUUUUAUACAAUACUUUUAACAGUUUUGCGCAUAAAACAAAGUUUGUUUACACUGAACCAUCAGAAAACAAGUGUCACCAUCUCAGUCAUCCACGUGGACAAUCUGUGGGUGUUUGGCAUCACCAUCAUUCCUGUCUCUGAACUUAUAUGCUACCAAAAACAAUUGUUUUCUUACACUUAUUUACACAUACUUACUAAUAAAAAAUGAAGACAUACCAUUAAUAUAGCAAAGAAGAAAAGUAAUGUGUUCAGGUAACUAAGGAGUACAAUAGCAUCAGCAGAACACCUGUAUCAGCUAUUAAACAACGGCAACAACAAAUGACUGUAGGCUUUUAGUCUCUACCUACAAUUCUGCAUUUUGAUUAAUAGGUUACCGUAUACUGUAUUUUUUUUUAAUCCAUGAGAUUUUCUCAUUUAUUCCUUGGAACAUGAAUUAAUAUAUAACUACAUUAACAUGUAAAUCUUUUUUAUUGCAUUUUAGGUUUUGAUGUGCAUGUGAAGAACAUGCAAGAUUGUUGCAUAGUACCUCACAAGGCCAUCUGGACUAAGGAAGAGGAUUCCCAGUCUCCUUUCGAGCUAAGUGAAUUUGUGUACUGGACAACAGGAUGUCAGAAGACAUAAUCUCUGCCACUUGUGUGCAGUACCGUAAAGGAAAGGAAAAUGCUGCUUCUACCUCUUUUGCCCUUUUACUAUUAGCUAGAAUUUGGAUAGGUGGUAGUAAGCCAUUUAAGAAUUGAGAUUAGCAAAACACUAGAAAAAAGAAGGCUGACUGAUUACUUUGUAUAGCACAGCUACUGUAUUAAUUUGAGUCUUUAACUCAUGUGAGAAUAAAUGUCUGCCUUGUUUAAGCCAUUGCUAAUACUCUAUAUAAAUUAUGUGUCGUAAAAAAUGCAAGAUAUAUAUCCUAUUCGUUUGAAUUAAUUACUUCAAUUAAGUGACCUAAUUUUUUAAUUAAAUGUUUUUAAAAAUUAUAAAAUUAACAUAUAUGUGUCCAUUGAGUAAAAAAUAGAAAUUUUACUGUCUGCAUUCUCCUGUCUAGGAAUUGCCAUGAGUUUGGUACUGUUAUUGCCUUUGCCAGACUAGGCUAGCUGUCCUUACCAUACUCCCAACUGUAUAAGGUAUUCGAUGUCAAAAAUAUGUCACCAAAGCCAGUGAUGGCAAGCAAUUCAAAGGUUCUUCACUCUCAGGCAUAGGCAAAGUGAUUUGGGGACCACACAUGAGUAGAAGGGAGAGGAGGAGAGGAAAGGAGAGAAGAGGGCAGGAGAGAAGACAGGAGAAAUGUGCGAUAAAAUACUGCCUGCUGCAUUUUUGAAGGCUGAAGGGGAACUAACAUUGUGUGUCUUUCCCCCGUAGGAGUGGACGCUGGAGAUUGAAGCUCAGAUCAGCAGCAGGCAGGGUGGCAUGGCUUGCACAUGAUUCAUCUAUUUGGCAUCGCAGAAGUGAUUGAGACAGAGAUGGGUACCCGACAGUUCUUUUGUUUGUUUGUUUCUUCCUGGUAGUGACUUAUUUCACUCAGUUCUUUCUCACAGACGUGGAAACUGAAACAGAGAGGCUGAAGGAUUUGCUGAAGGCAACUGGAAUCCAAAGCCUGUCCAGUAGAAUGUGGAUAUUGUCAUUUUUGCCUAAAAUGUUCAACUGGUGCUCAUUGAUUGGGUGCCUACUCUGUUACGAUGUAUCAGGCACUGUCAAACUUUUUACCCACUUUUUUCAGCCUUGAUGACAUCCCUACAAAAUGUACUCUCAACUCCAUAAUUCUCUCAAAUUCAAAAUGAAGUGUUUUUUUUAAAGUUGUGAAUAAAGUGAACACUUCUUUUUUCUUUGUAUUUAUUCCCUGUAUUAUUUGUUAUUUCUGAGCAUUCUUUUUGGAGGAAGAAGUCUUCAUGGCUUACAUAUAUUUGUAACAGAAACAUUUGAAAAAUAUUCAUAUAAAGGAACAUAAAAAUCAACAAUCAUCCAACUAUUCAGAUGAUUAUCAUUAUCAUUUUACUGUAUGUAUUUUCAAUUUUUUUCUCAGUACAGUUGAAUCUAUACAUAAUAUGAAAAAUAGUACAAACUAUUACUGUUGCAGUACCAGUAAUAAAAUAAAAUAAAUACCCUAUAAUGUCAGUUUCAUAGUUUUGUACUUAAACAUUGUUUACAAUGGACACAGGGAGGGGAACAUUAUAUACUGGGGUUUGUUGGGGA
This is a long non-coding RNA of Sapajus apella (tufted capuchin), 2434 nucleotides long. RefSeq lists it as uncharacterized. NCBI's taxonomy places the organism in Eukaryota, Metazoa, Chordata, Mammalia, Primates, Cebidae. The transcript is spliced from 3 exons. The record is from RefSeq and is a predicted model, not a curated record.